CGCCAGACUCCUACGGGAGGCAGCAGUGGGGAAUAUUGCACAAUGGGGGAAACCCUGAUGCAGCGACGCCGCGUGAGCGAAGAAGUACCUCGGUAUGUAAAGCUCUAUCAGCAGGGAAGAAGAUGACGGUACCUGACCAAGAAGCUCCGGCUAAAUACGUGCCAGCAGCCGCGGUAAUACGUAGGGGGCAAGCGUUAUCCGGAUUUACUGGGUGUAAAGGGAGCGUAGACGGCUGCGCAAGUCAGAAGUGAAAGCCCGGGGCUCAACCGCGGGACUGCUUUUGAAACUGUGUAGCUAGAGUGCAGGAGGGGUAAGUGGAAUUCCUAGUGUAGCGGUGAAAUGCGUAGAUAUUAGGAGGAACACCGGUGGCGAAGGCGGCUUACUGGACUGUAACUGACGUUGAGGCUCGAAAGCGUGGGGAGCAAACAGGAUUAGAUACCCGAGUAC
This 447-nucleotide ribosomal RNA is filed under the name uncultured bacterium. Its description in RNAcentral is "partial 16S ribosomal RNA". It matches the Rfam family "Bacterial small subunit ribosomal RNA", at positions 329 to 793 of the family's 1533-position model. The record is from RNAcentral.